Macrobrachium nipponense is the source of this 647-nucleotide long non-coding RNA. RefSeq lists it as uncharacterized. The transcript has 3 exons. NCBI's taxonomy places the organism in Eukaryota, Metazoa, Arthropoda, Malacostraca, Decapoda, Palaemonidae. The record is from RefSeq and is a predicted model, not a curated record.
CUAUUAGGGUGAUGUGUUCACGACCCGGACAAGGUCUCGACCCGGACAGUCUUGAUUAACCAAUGAAGGAUCGAGUCUAGGAUGACGUCAGAGCUAUGACGUAUGAGGGAAGGCGGUCCUAACUAGACGCCAUUUGCAAACCUACCCGCCAACGCUUCGCUUGUAAACAAGAUCCUUCGUGCCUCGCAGCCAUGCCUCGCAACUACCAGCCCAAGAACAUCCUAACCACGGACUGGACCAACUUGGAGAAGGCCUUUAAUCACCGAGUUGAGACAGGCUGUAGUAUCCGCACUGCUAGCAACCUUUUUGGAGUGAAACCUUCGACUCUUGGGGAUGCUUUCACUCGGUCCCUCAAGGAGAGUGAUGGGAGGACGUUCGUGCCAAAGCAGCAGAACGUCAAGAAGGUUUUCACCGAUGCGCAGGAACUCUUAAUCGAGGAAUACUCGAUAAAGAUUGCGCGCAUGUUCUACGGCCUGCCGACGAGAGCUUUCAGGAGGAUGGUCCUGAAGUAUGCAGAGGCUGUUGGCAGCCCGGCUAUUCCUGAUGUCUGGAGGAGGGAAGGUAUGGCCACCCGUGACUGGUAUUACGGGUAUAUGUUCCGUCAUCCAAAGCUUGCACUGAAGGCUCCGGAGGGCAUGUCACUUUCG